AAACACAAAACCCCAAACAACAGAUGAAUGAAAAACAAGAUUGAGAAAAGCAGAGCAAGGAAGAAAACGGAGUACCUGAAAGUUUAUAGUCAAAAUUUAAAGGAGCUACAGUUGAAUAUGAUGAGAGACAAACGUGCAAACAUUGAUGAAAGUGAAGUUGUGGGGGGUGGGGUUAUAGGGGAAAAAAUGGGAUUUUGGAGAGAAGGUGAAUUUCCCGCUGAAAAUGGCGGUGAUUACGGUUGAAUUUGUAAGAGAAAAUGAAAAUAACUUGUACUGAUAUGAAA
RNAcentral lists this unclassified non-coding RNA (284 nucleotides) under Hevea brasiliensis (rubber tree). Lineage: Eukaryota; Viridiplantae; Streptophyta; Magnoliopsida; Malpighiales; Euphorbiaceae. The record is from RNAcentral.